UGGGGAAUAUUGGGCAAUGGGCGCAAGCCUGACCCAGCAACGCCGCGUGAAGGAAGAAGGCCCUCGGGUUGUAAACUUCUUUUAUCAGGGACGAAGAAGUGACGGUACCUGAUGAAUAAGCCACGGCUAACUACGUGCCAGCAGCCGCGGUAAUACGUAGGUGGCAAGCGUUAUCCGGAUUUACUGGGUGUAAAGGGCGUGUAGGCGGGAGAGCAAGUCAGACGUGAAAUUCCAGGGCUCAACCCUGGAACUGCGUUUGAAACUGUUCUUCUUGAGUGAUGGAGAGGCAGGCGGAAUUCCGUGUGUAGCGGUGAAAUGCGUAGAUAUACGGAGGAACACCAGUGGCGAAGGCGGCCUGCUGGACAUUAACUGACGCUGAGGCGCGAAAGCGUGGGGAGCAAACAGGAUUAGAUACC
RNAcentral lists this ribosomal RNA (416 nucleotides) under uncultured bacterium. Its description in RNAcentral is "bacterial SSU rRNA". It matches the Rfam family "Bacterial small subunit ribosomal RNA", at positions 355 to 786 of the family's 1533-position model. The record is from RNAcentral.